RNAcentral lists this long non-coding RNA (303 nucleotides) under Olea europaea subsp. europaea. The record is from RNAcentral. Lineage: Eukaryota; Viridiplantae; Streptophyta; Magnoliopsida; Lamiales; Oleaceae.
CCUCACAAUUCUUUUUGCCUUAAUUUUCAAGUGAAAUAGAUCAAUAAGAUAAUCAUUAUUCUUAUGAUAUUGCCAUUAUGAACACUUAAAAAGGCGAUAAAUUUGAUCCUGUAGACUGGAUUGAAUCAAAGAUUCAUUCUUCAGCCUAUUGGAAGAAAGUGUGUUAAAUUUAUUUAUCUGCAACGGCUGAAUGACAUAUCUUGUUUCUAGAAUUACAAAUCUUGGAGCCAUGUAAAUUGGAUGUAUAGACAAAAUCGGAAAGCAAAAGUUUCUCACCUUUGUCUUGGGUUGGUCGCUUGGUUU